AAAGUGGCAAAACAAUUAAGAGUUAUUUAAGAUAUAGCGAAAUUUCUCUAUUCAUAUAAAAACUAAAAACAACUAGGAAAUAUGAUAAAAAGGGGUAUACAUGAAACAUGCUUGAUAGCUUGGGCUGCCUGUGGUCUAAUGGAGGUAAGCGGCGCGCCCAUCCUAUCACGUGAUCUCUAGGUAAGUCUAUUCGUCAAUACUACGCCAACAGGCAUUCAACAUCAAUCGUCUGGGAAGGAAAGAUGUAAACUGUUCUACAGGAAAAGUUUCUUUGUUUCUUUCAAGCAUGGUGCCCUUUUUUGACAUAAACCCAGAUAACUUUUAUGGAAAUUAGAAAAGGGGCUUUCUGUGGGUACUGGAACAAUGUCGAUAGCGAGUCAUCCGAUAAGAAGUUUUAACGGUGAAGACUGGAUCAUCACCAUUAGGAGAAGACUGUUAAAACUGGGGCAAGUAAAUGGAAACUCUAGCUGUUGCUCUUCAAGGUCAGAGAGCUGAUUCAAUGGGUGGUGGCAUGCAACAUGAUCCACAUGUCAUGAUCUCUAGGUAUUAAUUACUAAUAUUGUAUGAUUGAAAUCUACUUCGUGUAUCGCAUUACACAAAUAUUGAAAGAUUCGACCAGUAAAAACUUUUUGUUUGCUGUAUUGGCUAGACAGCCGGAAAGGUUAGAUCCGCACAAAGAAAUACCUAUUAUGUUAUAGAUAACAACACGUCAAACUAUGGGAGAGAAUCUUCUCCUGUUGCUGUCGACCUCUUAAUUUUUCUAUAAUAACCUUUUUAUAAGAACGUCCAGCCUGAGUGCUUUUAAGCACUUAAAAGAACUUUAAAAGAACAUGCUAAGAACUAGUCGAGGCUAAGAUAGAAGCAAAAUAUUGUUUUGUGUGAUGCGUUGUAAAAUGCAGAAUCAAAUUGUGUUAUAUUUUUUUGUAAUUUUCUUCCAUAGUCUUGAGGUAUUAUACUCUGUGUACCAGAGGCUCCAAACCUCUCUCGCCCAGCGACGCUCAGCCAAAAUAUCACGACAAGCGAAGCGAGGAGGCUCUGGGUGGGCGAGUAGCUUUUUUCAGUUCCAGAAAUACAGGUUUUGUAUUCUGCAGCUGAUUGGUCAUCAACGAGAUUGUCAUAGCUUCGCUCGUCACGGCAUUUUGGCUGAGCGUCACUGGACGAGAGAAGUCUGGAGGCUCUGGUAGAGGUAUUAUACUUUUAUAUAAACUGAACUAUACAGCCUCAACUGAAACUGAUAUGUUUUAUUUAAAAAGUGUAUUCUUUGUACCAUUUGACCCCAAAAUUGAGCGGAUUUUCUUGUAUAUCCUUGAUAUUAUUUAGCGCUCGAUAAAAAAAUAUUCUAUAUUAAAAUAAUUACUGAAACUAUGAUUGAUAUAUCACUAUUCUAGGAUGAUUAAAUAAAACGGCCACGAUUAGCCAUAGUUAAAUCAUUAGCUGGAAAAGUGAUAUGGGUUUGUUAUUGCAGAACUCAGAAGGAAAACAACGCAUUGGCGUCCGUAACAUUCACAUUUUGUUGAGCUCUUGUACACGAAAAUUAACAAAAUAUAUCACCAAAUUCUAGGUCUCCCCUUGUCCUGUUAUCCUCAACUUUUUUAUUUUGCCAUUUUAGUAUUAGUGUGGGUUGUGGCAUUUAUUUUGGAAGAAUUAUAUCAGACCGUUUUGUUUCUUGCAUGGAUUUGUUAGCGACACGCGAGAGAAAGCCCAUUGACGAUUGUUGGUUUGUUAACCUGCUGCAUUGCGAAGUUAAAACCAUUUUUUAUACAUUAAUUAAGAGCGAAAUGGAAGGGAUGUGAUAUGUUAUUCAAUAAAUUAUGUUUUUAUUGAUUCUCAAAUGAAAAAUCUCGUACCAGACGGCAUAAUUUUUGAGUGAUACGGAACUGUACCAGCUGCUAGCGGAACUACUCCCACUAUGUGCAAACAAAAAAAUACCAUAUAAAUCAAUAACAUUUUAAAAUGUGUAAGUAAAAUUUGUAGUUUUGCGGAGGGUCCAUGAGCAUUGGAUCCUCCGCAAAAAAGAUAGAGAAAUUUUAAUAUUAAGUGAUAUGGAACUGGUCAUCGUACUGUACAGUACAAAACAGUACAAAACGACGCCUACCGAAUGACUGAAACAAAAGGCCCACAUAAUAAAAAUUAACCGUUUAGAACUAACAUUACUGGUAAUAAAAUGAUUAAUUGAAAACGGGAUAAUAAAAUCAAUCCUUUUUGCGGCUUGUUAUCUUUUAAUCAAACCAAAUACACACUAGGGCCCCCGAAUGGUCCCCCGAAAUUUCGAUGUGCUCGCAGUUUCCGGCUAAUGCUCGCAUGCUCGCGCAAUUUUUUCCGCCUAAAAAUGCUCGUCUUGCAUAAAAAAACGGGGUGCUCGCAAGCUUACAAGUGCUCACCAAAGACCAUUCGGGGGGCCUACUAUGGGCGCAGGGUAAUACGGAACUAUACCCACGACCUCCGGGAAGCACGAAAAAGCAAUGUAAAUCGAAAUAAUCGCAUCAAGCCAGAAAAAAAAACUAGUACACAUUAACAGACAUUCUUUCUUCUAAGCAUUCGUGUAAAAAUUAGGACAUUUAUGUUAAAGGAGGUAUUGUUUUCAUCUAACUUUCUAGACGCGGAUUUCACUGAGUAGUAAAUGCCGCUCAUUUUAGCAACAAUUAUGAAAAAUCGCUUCGAAAUAACGAUAAUUUCUGAACAAACCAUUGGAUGAAAUAAGCUGGAUUUAUAUCUCAUGAAAGGUUAACAUUUUUGUAUCAUUUAGGUAGUUUUGGAUUGUUCAAAUCUACAAUAUUCGAGGCAAAAAGAUAAAAACAAAUGCUGAGUGAUACGGAAUUAGGACUGCUAUGGAACUGGUUAUUGUACUGUACGCGGCUCAUGGAAUACGACGUUUGAACUUAGCCUCAGUUCAAUAAAUCUUUUUGGUUUAGUCCUGCGUUUGACGAACAGCGCAAGGACAAGCAAAGACAACUGGUCAGCUCGUACUAUUGUUCAAUAUUCGAAUUUUAACUCAGUGGCAGCUAUAAAAUUCGGAAUUUUGGAUGUAUUCUUCGCCGAAAUUUUCCGUGGGCAAACGAUUGUAUUGCUCAUCAAGAAGAAGAAACAGAUGUGUGUGCGUGUUGUGCAAUUUGCUUGCAUGAUUUUUUAGUUGGCUAGGGAUCAGAAAUAAUUAUAGAAAUGAUAUACCAAAUGUUUUAUCAUGUGUUAGCUUUUUCUUGUUGCAGUAAUAAGAAUUGAGGCGCUAAACAAGGAAUUACACGUACAAAUAAGAUUAUUUUAGUAUCUAAAAUAUAUGGUCUUAUUACCUUAUAUACAUUUUUAUUAAUAGCUCUAAAAAAGGGCAAUUAAAACUCCCUAAGCAAAAUGAAUUCCAGUGUUGGCUGAAGAAGGGAUAUUAAAGGAGGGCGAAAGCGGAUA
Molecule: long non-coding RNA, 3399 nt
Organism: Nematostella vectensis (starlet sea anemone)
Lineage: Eukaryota; Metazoa; Cnidaria; Anthozoa; Actiniaria; Edwardsiidae
Exons: 2
Source: RefSeq, a predicted model, not a curated record